Rhipicephalus sanguineus (brown dog tick) is the source of this 404-nucleotide long non-coding RNA. RefSeq lists it as uncharacterized. The record is from RefSeq and is a predicted model, not a curated record. The transcript is spliced from 3 exons. Lineage: Eukaryota; Metazoa; Arthropoda; Arachnida; Ixodida; Ixodidae.
UGGGAUUGCCUGAAGAAGCGGAUGCGCUGCUUGCUCUACAACACGCAAAUAUAACGGCUGUCCGCACUAUUGGCAAACACACGAAGACAAUUGAUUCGAUGGUCGGCUGGCCAGGCGUGUGUGUGUUGCACAUCCUUUUGGACAAAGCUCGGCGCUGCAAGCGGAACAGUGUCUUGGCCACCAGCGUCCGAGAGCGGCGUUUAGCCAACUUCCUCUUCGGGGCUGCAGGAUUGUGAACUCGGCGAAGACGACAACCGCGAAAACACGUCAAGGGAGCCUUCAACGCUGUGGAGAGCCGGAGACAUAUCUGCUGCCAACAUUUCCGCACACAUCUGGUCACCACUAAUAAAUAAAUGGAGAAUAAAUAAAUGAAUAAGGACCGUUAGAAUCCUUUGAUUGCGCCA